UACGUAGGGUGCAAGCGUUAUCCGGAUUCCCUGGGUUUAAAGGGUUCGUAGGUGGUUUGGUCAGUCAGUGGUGAAAUCUCCGAGCUUAACUUGGAAACUGCCAUUGAUACUAUUAAUCUUGAAUAGUGUGGAGGUCAGCGGAAUAUGUCAUGUAGCGGUGAAAUGCUUAGAGAUGACAUAGAACACCAAUUGCGAAGGCAGCUGGCUACACAUAUAUUGACACUGAGGCACGAAAGCGUGGGGAGCAAACAGG
This 253-nucleotide ribosomal RNA is filed under the name uncultured bacterium. RNAcentral describes it as "partial 16S ribosomal RNA". It matches the Rfam family "Bacterial small subunit ribosomal RNA", at positions 524 to 776 of the family's 1533-position model. The record is from RNAcentral.